UCGUAUAAUGGGAGGUGCUGGCCCUCUGGUAUGUGCACGAUUAGUGACUUUCAUCCAACUCCCAUUUGUGAACCUUUGGCCUUGCGUUGGCUUCGGCCGGCGGAAGGAUUUUUACAUAUACUCCGAAUGUAAUGAAAUACUAUUGUGCAGAUGCACUAAUGUA
This 163-nucleotide unclassified non-coding RNA is filed under the name uncultured Sebacinaceae. Its description in RNAcentral is "sequence contains ITS1". The record is from RNAcentral. Lineage: Eukaryota; Fungi; Basidiomycota; Agaricomycetes; Sebacinales; Sebacinaceae.